CCUACGGGAGGCAGCAGUGAGGAAUAUUGGUCAAUGGACGAGAGUCUGAACCAGCCAAGUAGCGUGAAGGAUGACUGCCCUAUGGGUUGUAAACUUCUUUUAUAUGGGAAUAAAAUGUUCCACGUGUGGGAUUUUGUAUGUACCAUAUGAAUAAGGAUCGGCUAACUCCGUGCCAGCAGCCGCGGUAAUACGGAGGAUCCGAGCGUUAUCCGGAUUUAUUGGGUUUAAAGGGAGCGUAGGUGGAUUGUUAAGUCAGUUGUGACAGUUUGCGGCUCAACCGUAAAAUUGCAGUUGAAACUGGAAGUCUUGAGUACAGUAGAGGUGGGCUGAAUUCGUGGUGUAGCGGUGAAAUGCUGAGAUAUCACGAAGAACUCCGAUUGCGAAGGCAGUUCACUGGACUGCAACUGACACUGAGGCUCGAAAGUGUGGGUAUCAAACAGGAUGAGAUACCCUUGUAGUC
Molecule: ribosomal RNA, 460 nt
Filed under: uncultured bacterium
Lineage: Bacteria
Description: partial 16S ribosomal RNA
Rfam family: Bacterial small subunit ribosomal RNA
Source: RNAcentral